UAAUACUAAUAUGUCAAAAAAUUAAAGGGAUAGUAAAAAAUUUACAGUUAAAUACGAGUGACAUAACCUAGCAUAGACAACCUAAGAAAAUGGUUUCAGGUAUAAAAAUUUUCUCCUCCAUUUACAAGGUAAGAAAUUACUCCUCGGUCAAGCGUAAUUUCACAGCUGGGAAAGUGAUCUUUAAUAAACCAAGAUCUCAAAGUUCGGGGUCGGUUCCAGACGUGCCAGGGCUUAGCCAGAAUGUUGUAAAAGUUGCAAGCGAACCUGUAGGGCCAGGUGCUUCAAAAACUUCAGACUACAAGAAUCCUGAAUAUUUCUGUUAUGACAAGAACAGUUACUUCGAAGCUGAAGUAGAAAUAUUGAAAUAUAGGUGCCCACAACCGUCUGUCUAUGAAUAUUACAAACAUACUGAGCCCAAGUAAUUAGAAAAAGAGACAGCAAUAGAAAGAAAUAUGUAUUUAUGUAUAUUAUUUUGUUUAUUGAAUAAAGGUAUGUGAUAAAACAUUAAAAAGAUUUA
Molecule: long non-coding RNA, 517 nt
Organism: Sitophilus oryzae (rice weevil)
Lineage: Eukaryota; Metazoa; Arthropoda; Insecta; Coleoptera; Curculionidae
Exons: 3
Source: RefSeq, a predicted model, not a curated record